RNAcentral lists this ribosomal RNA (497 nucleotides) under uncultured bacterium. RNAcentral describes it as "partial 16S ribosomal RNA". It matches the Rfam family "Bacterial small subunit ribosomal RNA", at positions 28 to 507 of the family's 1533-position model. The record is from RNAcentral.
GAUGAACGCUGGCGGCGUGCCUAAUACAUGCAAGUCGAGCGAACAGAUGAGGAGCUUGCUCCUCUGAUGUUAGCGGCGGACGGGUGAGUAACACGUGGAUAACCUACCUAUAAGACUGGGAUAACUUCGGGAAACCGGAGCUAAUACCGGAUAAUAUUUUGAACCGCAUGGUUCAAAAGUGAAAGACGGUCUUGCUGUCACUUAUAGAUGGAUCCGCGCUGCAUUAGCUAGUUGGUAAGGUAACGGCUUACCAAGGCAACGAUGCGUAGCCGACCUGAGAGGGUGAUCGGCCACACUGGAACUGAGACACGGUCCAGACUCCUACGGGAGGCAGCAGUAGGGAAUCUUCCGCAAUGGGCGAAAGCCUGACGGAGCAACGCCGCGUGAGUGAUGAAAGUCUUCGGAUCGUAAAACUCUGUUAUUAGGGAAGAACAUAUGUGUAAGUAACUGUGCACAUCUUGACGGUACCUAAUCAGAAAGCCACGGCUAACUACGUG